UUGCAGCAUGCAUAUGGAAUCUAGUUCCCUGACCAUGGAUUGAACCCAGGGCCCUUGCACUGGGAGUGCAGAGUCUUAACCACUGCACCACCAGCGAAGUCCCUAUACCUGUUUCUUCAUCAGUAAAAUGAUGCACUUCCUCUUAGGAAUUGUUAGGAGAUUGAAUUGGAAUAAUAGGGUGGUUUUCCAACCACGUCCUGGAAAGCUCUAAUCAGACAACCUAGUGUUUUCCAAACUUCAUUCACAUCCCAUGUUCCCAACCUUCAGACACUUGUACACCAUCUCUACUAUUUGCUUAAUCUUGUCCUUUAAAAAUAUCAACUUUUAAAAUGGAAAAACAUUUACUCAAGAAGGAAACUUUGUAUCACUACCAUAAACAGGAAGUACCUAUCACUUACCCUAGAAUGGUAAAAAAUAAAUACAACAAAAUCAAAACGAUGGUAUUCAAUUCUCGCUUGCAAUGGUUAUAGGCCAAAGCUCUGAGCUCAAGUCCUGGACUUUGUUUAAAAAAAGAAAUUAUCUCAGUCAUAAAAGGCCACUUAUGGCUGUAUAUGAAAUGUCCAGAAUAGGCAAGUCUACAGAGACAGAAAGUAGGUUAGUGAUAGUCUAGGGCUGGAGGAGAAUGGGGAUGACUGCUAAUGGGUAUGGUUUGAGGGUGAUGAAAAUGUUCUAAAGUUGACUAUGGUGACAGCUGCACAACUCUUUGAAUAUACUUAAAGAACCACUAGAUUGUACACUUUAAAUGGGUGAAUUGUAUGGUAUAUGAAUGAUCUCUCAAUAAAAGUUGUUAGUAAAAAGAGAAAACUGUUAAAUCUUAUUUUUUUUCUCCUUGAGGUAAAUGAAAGGAUGAUGCAAAGAUACCGGAACCAGGACCACUAUUAUUUAACUUAACCAGAUGACAUGGUAGCACUGGAUUGCAUGCUGAACGGCUGCUGCAACCUUCGUGUACUGUUCUACGUUCAGGUCCUGUGCCUCAAAAACUAACAGUGCCUCCUCAAAUAAAGAAAAUCCCCUUGCCAUUUCCUGCAUUGUGAAUCUCUUCGGUUCUUCAGUUAUUUCUUCUUCUUCUUGUCUCUCUUCGUCCUUCCUCUGGGCCUCCAAUUCCAUCAGGUCUUCAUUAGUACAGUACGUGCCUUCAUCAAUAAUUUCUUAAAGUGUUUCAGGAAACUCCCGGGCAGCUACUGUAUCUGCACUCGCUGCCUCACCACUUACUUUUACGUUUGGAAGGUUGGCUCUAGCCUGGAACCGAUGAAACCAGCCAUGGCUGGCAUUAAAAGAUGCACCCUCUGAUUCUUCGUUGUGUUUCUUCUUCGAGUCUUCAUAAAGGGUUUCAGCUUUCUCUUGAAUCAGCAUUAAGCUGAGCGGGACUUGACGCUGAUGCUGAUUCUGCACCCACACUCUGAGAAGUUCCUCCAUCUCCUCCAUCACUUUUCCACGCUUCUUCGAUACUAUUGUCGACAUCUUCGGUACAGCAGACUUCACAUGUUCCAUGAUCUUGUCCUUGUUCUUUCGAAUCAUGCUGAUGGUUGAACGAUUCAUGUUAUAAGAACGAGUGACAUCUAUCAUCUUUUCACCUCGCUCCACUCUCUCAAUUAUUUUCACUUUUGUUUCCAUCAUUAUCGCUUGGCGCUUCUUAGCAGUACCAGCUACAACACCACUGCUUUUACACUUGCUUCCAGACAUCCUGGGCUUGAAAUAAAGAUACUGUACUACUGUACCCUAUACAAUACUGUACAGUAAAGCACACAAAAGCACAACCACUUGUAGAGGAUGCACGCAGGUGACAAUGUACGCCAGACACAUGAACUAACUUACGUGAUUGGACGUGCGAACGCAAUUCGCAUCUUUGAAAGUUCACAACUUGAAGGUUCGUAUGUAGGGGACUUACUGUAUAUGGAAAAGAUAAUACUGGCUUCAUGUUUCAGAUGAGGCAACUAAGGUCUAGACAGGGAAAUGACUUGCCCAAGAUCACACAGUACAAAUCAACUGAAUCUGGAAUACCUCCAUUCCUAUUCUGCAUCCUGACCCUUCACUACACCACAGUUGCAUCCCAGAGCUGACUGGAGGAACAAAGGAGGGGACAGGUAGAAAAGCCAUUGCCAACAGACGAAUAUAAGGGAAUGGAAGUCACUACAGGAGGCCCUGCAACAGAGAUGAACGACGUGGCCUUACUCUAUCAGGGGAAAGUGACACGUCAAGUGAAAGAGGAAGUACGGUGACUAACCUGGAACGUGAGCUAGUUUGAGGAUCAUGGAACCUUCCUGAAGGAGAUUUCUGGGGCACUGAUGCGAGGAGAGGAGAGAAGACCACACCAGGAAGCUGAGGUUUGAAAGGUCCCUGAGAAAAGGCUAUCCAUCUCCCUGGGAUGUACUCAUCCAGGGCUCUGGGCCCCAGGCUUGACAGGCUUGUGCGGGGAAAUAGAAACAGGCAGAGGACUUGGAGGCAUCUGCUCUCCACCCAGCAGAGCGAUCCUAGUCAAAGACACGUCUAUGGCAUCUAACCCAGCGAUAGAAAGGAACAAACUACUGAUCCAAGCAACAAUGUGGAUGACUCUCAAAAACAUUACGCUGAGUGAAA
Non-coding RNA from Kogia breviceps (pygmy sperm whale), 2577 nucleotides. NCBI's taxonomy places the organism in Eukaryota, Metazoa, Chordata, Mammalia, Artiodactyla, Physeteridae. The record is from RefSeq and is a predicted model, not a curated record.